GAGGUUCGAUUAGUCUUUCGCCCCUAUACCCAGUUCAUACGAUCGAUUUGCACGUCAGAAUCGCUACGGACCUCCAUCAGGGUUUCCCCUGACUUCAUCCUGACCAGGCAUAGUUCACCAUCUUUCGGGUCCCAGCGUGUACGCUCUUGGUGCGCCACAACUUGCAAUAAGUAUGCAACGCCCCGGGAAUGCGAGGUAACAUAAAUAACGUAACCUAUCUUCCCUUUAUAAAAAUG
RNAcentral lists this ribosomal RNA (236 nucleotides) under Blackburnia aterrima. RNAcentral describes it as "partial 28S ribosomal RNA". Lineage: Eukaryota; Metazoa; Arthropoda; Insecta; Coleoptera; Carabidae. The record is from RNAcentral.